CCUACGGGAGGCAGCAGUGAGGAAUAUUGGUCAAUGGACGAGAGUCUGAACCAGCCAAGUAGCGUGAAGGAUGACUGCCCUAUGGGUUGUAAACUUCUUUUAUAUGGGAAUAAAAUGUGCCACGUGUGGCUUUUUGCAUGUACCUUAUGAAUAAGGAUCGGCUAACUCCGUGCCAGCAGCCGCGGUAAUACGGAGGAUCCGAGCGUUAUCCGGAUUUAUUGGGUUUAAAGGGAGCGUAGGUGGGUGGUUAAGUCAGUUGUGAAAGUUUGCGGCUCAACCGUAAAAUUGCAGUUGAAACUGGCAGUCUUGAGUACAGUAGAGGUAGGCGGAAUUCGUGGUGUAGCGGUGAAAUGCUUAGAUAUCACGAAGAACUCCGAUUGCGAAGGCAGCUUACUGUACUGUAACUGACACUGAGGCUCGAAAGUGUGGGUAUCAAACAGGAUUAGAUACCCUAGUAGUC
This 460-nucleotide ribosomal RNA is filed under the name uncultured bacterium. RNAcentral's name for it is "partial 16S ribosomal RNA". It matches the Rfam family "Bacterial small subunit ribosomal RNA", at positions 338 to 795 of the family's 1533-position model. The record is from RNAcentral.